This 30-nucleotide non-coding RNA is filed under the name Cricetulus griseus (Chinese hamster). The record is from RNAcentral. Lineage: Eukaryota; Metazoa; Chordata; Mammalia; Rodentia; Cricetidae.
UUAGUACCGUACCUGUGCAGCUGUUUUGUU